UUUCCCUCAGCUUUUCCAUUUUUCCUCCAAUUUCCCCUCAGCUUUUCCAUUAUUUUCCCCUCAGCUUUUCCCUCCAAUUUUCCAUUUUCCCUUUAAUUUUCCCCUCAGCUUUUCCAUUUUCUUUAAUUUUCCCCUCAGAUUUUCCAUUAUUUUCCCUCAGCUUUUCCCUCAAAUUUUCCAUUUUCCCACCAAUUUUCCCCUCAGCUUUUCCAUUAUUUUCCCUCAGAUUUUUUGUUUUUUCCCCUUUUUUCCUCUCAAUUUUUUCCCUUUUUCUCUCAGUCUUUUCUUUCCUCCCCCCCCAAAUUUCCCUCACUUUUUCCCCAAUCCCUUUUUCCCCUCAAAUUUCCCGAUUUUUCCCCUUAUUUUCCUUUUUCUCUCAGAUUUUUCCUUUUUUCUCCCUUUUUCCCCUCAAAUUUUCCUUUUUUUUCCCCCUCUUUUUCCCCCAAAUUCAUUUUCCCCCAUUUUCCCCCCUUUCUGCCCAUUUCCUCCCCAACUCUCCCCCUCAUUCCCUGAUUUUUGCCCAUUUUCCCCCAUAUUUCCCCCUCAACUCCCGGAAAUGUUAAAAAAUAAAGGUUUUUUUUGCCUGUUUUUGUGCUUUUUUUGUCCUUUUUCCCCCCCACCUACCCCCCUUUAACAUCAUUGCUAUGGGGCCGUCCCCAUUUCUCCCCACUUUGGGGCCAAAUUAAGCCCAAAUCUGCCCCCAACACAAACGCACAACAGAAAAUUUGGGGCCUUUUCCUCUUUUUUGCUGAAAUUCUGUCAAAAUCAUUAAAUUUCACCUCAGCACUGCACCUUUGGGGCCAUUCCACUGCUUUUCACCCCAAAAAUCAUCAAAAAAACGCCCCCAACCCCUCGAUCUUCUCCAGAAAUCGAAUGGUUUACGCAAACGUGGUGGAAACAGGGUUUAAAACUGAGAGAAAAAGUGAAAUUUGGGCUACAAACGUUUGAUUUUCUUUAGUACAGGCAUCGCGCCGCCAUGUUGAGUGCGGCAUAUUCCAUAUAUGGGCAUUGUGCCGCCAUGUUGAGUGCGGCGCGUUCCAUAUAUGGGCAUUGCGCCGCCAUGUUGAGUGCGGCGUAUUCCAUAUAUGGGCAUUGCGCCGCCAUGUUGAGUGUGCCGCGCUCUAUGGAUGAAAACUGCGCCGCCAUGUUGAGUGUCCCGCGUUCCAUAUAUGGGCAGCGCACCGCCCCGCUGCAUCACGUGGCGCACGGCCCGCCUUCCUAUUGGCUGGGGUGGUGAGCGGGCGCGGCGCUGCCUCUCCGCCGUUUCGGAGGCGGAAGCGGUGGCUGGCCCCGCACUUCCGGUUUCCGGUGGCGGAGCGGAAGGGGCGGUGCGCAGCGGCGAUGGCGGCGGCGGUGGAGGAGGAGGAGGG
Molecule: long non-coding RNA, 1370 nt
Filed under: Numida meleagris (helmeted guineafowl)
Lineage: Eukaryota; Metazoa; Chordata; Aves; Galliformes; Numididae
Description: lncRNA (ENSNMEG00000002654.1)
Source: RNAcentral